RNAcentral lists this ribosomal RNA (465 nucleotides) under uncultured bacterium. RNAcentral's name for it is "partial 16S ribosomal RNA". It matches the Rfam family "Bacterial small subunit ribosomal RNA", at positions 28 to 507 of the family's 1533-position model. The record is from RNAcentral.
GAUGAACGCUGGCGGCGUGCUUAACACAUGCAAGUCGAACGGAAAGGCUCCUGCUUGCAGGGGUACUCGAGUGGCGAACGGGUGAGUAACACGUGGGUGAUCUGCCCUGCACUUCGGGAUAAGCCUGGGAAACUGGGUCUAAUACCGGAUAGGACCACAUCUUGGAUGGUGUGGUGGAAAGUUUUUCGGUGUGGGAUGAGCUCGGGGCCUAUCAGCUUGUUGGUGGGGUAAUGGCCUACCAAGGCGUCGACGGGUAGCCGGCCUGAGAGGGUGUACGGCCAGAUUGGGCCUAAGAGACGGCGCAGACGCGGACGGGGGACAGAGGGGGGAAGAUUGAUCCAGGGGGACAGCGUGGGUGGAGGAGGCCCGGGGGGGGGAAAGCCGGUUUGGGGGGUAAAAACAGGUGCCGGUUGAUACGCAGCUGAUGUGGGGGUACCUAAAGAAGAAGCACCGGCUAACUUCGUG